CAGCACCUCAAGUGGUCAGAAUGAUUAUUGGGCCUAAAGCAUCCGUAGCCGGCGCUGUAAGUUUUCGGUUAAAUCUGUACGCUCAACGUACAGGCUGCCGGGAAUACUGCAGCGCUAGGGAGUGGGAGAGGUAGACGGUACUCGGUAGGAAGGGGUAAAAUCCUUUGAUCUAUUGAUGACCACCUGUGGCGAAGGCGGUCUACCAGAACACGUCCGACGGUGAGGGAUGAAAGCUGGGGGAGCAAACCGGAUUAGAGACCCGAGUAGUC
RNAcentral lists this ribosomal RNA (269 nucleotides) under uncultured archaeon. RNAcentral describes it as "partial 16S ribosomal RNA". It matches the Rfam family "Archaeal small subunit ribosomal RNA", at positions 477 to 746 of the family's 1478-position model. The record is from RNAcentral.